AAUUUCUGGAAAUUCCGAAAAUGAUUAAAAAUAAAAUGUCUGAUAUUUACAGAUGUUGAAGUACAGAAUAAGAGUCUUAGACUCAGUAAUUACCCGAUAAAGCUGUCGGUACGCCGACAAAUGUUAGACCUUAUAAAAGAAAGAAAAGACUACUGUAAGAGCAUGGAUGAGAUAUUUGAAAAAUGUAUAAAAAUAUUUCAAGUAUAG
RNAcentral lists this long non-coding RNA (207 nucleotides) under Panax ginseng (ginseng). RNAcentral's name for it is "long non-coding RNA (PGIN_LNC002151)". The record is from RNAcentral. Lineage: Eukaryota; Viridiplantae; Streptophyta; Magnoliopsida; Apiales; Araliaceae.